GAGCUGGGAAUCAAACCCGGUUCCUCCAGAUUAGAUACACGAGCUCUUAACCUCCUACACCAUUGCUGCUCUUUUUUAGUCAGAAAUAGGUAUGUGUGAACUGCUUCGGAGCCCCAGUAACUCACUCACUGCCUGUUCCCUUUAAUGCCAAGGAUUGAACCUGGAAUCUUCUGCAUGCAAAGCUGAUACUCUUAUCACUGAGCCAUGUCCCCUUCUUAAGUAGUAUAAACUAAUUUUUAUA
Molecule: long non-coding RNA, 241 nt
Organism: Sphaerodactylus townsendi
Lineage: Eukaryota; Metazoa; Chordata; Lepidosauria; Squamata; Sphaerodactylidae
Exons: 3
Source: RefSeq, a predicted model, not a curated record